This is a long non-coding RNA of Pyrus x bretschneideri (Chinese white pear), 1497 nucleotides long. RefSeq lists it as uncharacterized. The transcript has 2 exons. NCBI's taxonomy places the organism in Eukaryota, Viridiplantae, Streptophyta, Magnoliopsida, Rosales, Rosaceae. The record is from RefSeq and is a predicted model, not a curated record.
UCUCUCUUCUUUCAACAACGAAAUUGCAGAUCUCUUUCUCCUUCCUCAACAGAUCACUCUCUUGUCGUUAGUACAAAGAGUUUUUUUUUUUUUUUUUUUUUUUUUUUUUUUAAACAAAACCAAGAGGCUACCGAGGCCGCCUAGCCCGAGUGCCGCCUAGCAGCCACCUAGCCCGUGUUUUAGAACACUGUCCUCAACUCAACUCCUCGUCCGACGAUCAUCUUUUUUGCAUCAGAAAAUAUAAAAUAUACAUUAGUGAACAAACAAAAUGAAUAAUCCAAGAAUUAGAAUUCUUGCUGAAAAAAAAAAGAAUUAGAAAAUUCAAAUUCAAGCAUGUAAGACACAAUAAUUUGAUAAUCUCAUCACUACGAGCACAAUAAUUCGGUAAUCUUACAACUGAAACAAAAGAAUUUGAAUGGCAUAAUUCUAAUGAAUUGUGAGCAAUUUUUUAUUUUUUUUAUUUUUUUUAUUUUUUUUUUAUGAUUGUGGAAGUAGCAUUGGUAUUAACAAUUUAAGCAUCUUUUUCUAACAGCAUGGAAGUUAGCCCCAUUUUCUCAACUUGUAAUAUGUUAAUCCCACACCGUCCACUGCAAGAAAGGGCAAAGUGAAGACAGAAUAAAUACGGUUUUACGGCUCGUUACUAAGCAUACCUUUCUCGGCCUUUUGGCUAAGAUCAAGUGUAGUAUCUGUUCUUAUCAGUUUAAUAUCUGAUACGUGGAUCAAUGGUCCACACGAUAUUAAAUUAAUUUUUUAAGGAGGAGAGUCCAUUGCAGUAGCUUGCUACUGGGUCUCUCGCGUGUCGCCCAAGCGUUGCACUACAGCCCGGGCCUGGCGCACUCCACCAAAUCUAGUUUCAAUUUGUACAGUUUUAUGCCCUGUUAAACUUCUAAUUCAAUUACAUGAUUCUAGUUCAAGUGGUGGAGGAAAAGCAUGAGCCCUGCGACUCCACCAAAUCUAGGGUUUGAGACUUUGAGUAAGACUUGGAUGCCGAUUUCGUAGAGCGAGUGAACAGAUUGGAGAGAUCUUUUUUCGCUAAGAAAAGGAGAGAUUUGAUGUUGGGAUGGAGGCAAAGCCUAGAUUUGAACUUUGGGAUAUAUUCUCAUGUCAUCCAAUAUUCCAUAACACACCGCACUACUCUGGUAAAUUUGAGUAGACGUACCUGGAGGGAGAGUCCAGAGUGGGAGGAGUAGGACUGUUUGAAAGCAUGGAGUAUCCUUGUCCUUGUCAUUGUUGGAUUUCAGUGGGGGUUGAUCGGAAUUGAAUUCAGUUUUCUUGGAGUUGAAGGAAGUGAUUCCAUGUUCCUUUCUGUAUAUUUUGACAAUAGAAAUGUUUAAGAUGUCGUCCAUCGAUCGUGUUGGUUCAACACUACUUACGGGUGUGGGGUAUCAAAAUUUAUAUGGACUUUUGUUGAGUUUUUGAAGUAAUAUACUUUCACGGAUUUAGUAGGCUUUUACUGACUAUUAUAAGCUCUAUAAAAAUUUCAAACUUUUAAUGAUA